CACAUAUGCACAUGGCCCCAGUGCUCCUGUGUGCACAAGGGUGCGUGCACCCUGUGCUCCAGCCCAGCCAGCCUGCCUGCCCCUCUGUUUGGUGCUGAGGAGCAGAGCAGGGAGCUGCGGGUCACCAACGCAGGCAGCCCCUUCUGGGCACACAAUAAGCACAUGGCCUGGGGAUCUCUGCCUGGUAUGAACAAAUCCACCAAAAAGCAAGUCCAGGGAAAGCCAGGCCAGGGUACUUCAAGUGGGGUGAAAUUCAGCUAAAGACAAUUGAAGAUAAAUACACCGCGGGAUAUUCCGAUGGUGAAAUCAGUUAACUGCAGAAGAAUCUUCAAUGGGAGCCAAGUACACGAGUCAACUAAAACUGCCUUUGUUGGACCCAGGAAACAGCCUGGAGAGCCCUCCAGCACCUACAGCAACACUCCCACAACCAGGGGUGGCAAGAGGAGGGAGCGCGCUCCAGAAGGUGACAGCUGCCUUGGAAAUCAGCGCCCCGAUGUCCGCAUUGCGCUUCUGGAAAUGAUAUGGCAAGAGACAAUAUAAUACUAAUGUGACAAAGCAAAGCACUGAAAAACUAUGUGAGGCAGGGCAGGUUGUUGUCAGAGACCUGCUUGGCUGCCUGUUGGGGACCGGUGGUGGUUGUCAGUGUCAGCGCCGAGCCGUCGCUCUAAUAACAAGUGGAUUAUCACUUGAUGUAAUUUGCUUUCAAGCUGCCGUACACCAGUCAGACCGAUUACAGUUAGGUACCUCCCAGCUCGCAGGGAGAUGUUCAGCAAACCCACAGCCAUGAGGCACCACAAGGUCUUAAUUUCAGUUUCAGUGUCUUUUUAGACGAAGGAAAGCAGUGGCUGAAUGGUGAGCUGGCAAUAAAUAUGGCAGCAAUAAACGUGGUGUCCAAGAGGAGGCAGGGCAAGCCAGUGAAUGAUUUGAGUAGAGGCAUGUGCCUUAAAAAUAUCCCAUACGUUACCUAGAUGUAAAGUCUGUAGGGUCAAACUUAGAGGUCCCUUAGAGAAAGUCCUCUAUUGAAAUUAAGUAGUUGUGCUCAGUCAGGAGUGAUCCACUGAAAUAAAAACUACAGAAGGUCUGUGAUGGCCACUGAAGUGAGGAGGCCUGUAAUUACUGCCAACAGUACUGGGGGGAGUUUGGUCCACUCCAACUGCAGAUGUCCCAAGAAAUGCACAUUCAGCCGCUCCCUGGAGAGGGUUCAAGAGCACUGCAUGGUCUAAUGGCUCUCACAAGUGGGAUUAGUUUCUCAACUUUUAGCCUAAUUUUUUUGUAUUGCUUAAUUUCAUCACAUUAUUUCUGAUUAAACGCUUUGUGGAAGGCAUA
This is a long non-coding RNA of Oxyura jamaicensis (ruddy duck), 1326 nucleotides long. RefSeq lists it as uncharacterized. The record is from RefSeq and is a predicted model, not a curated record. The transcript has 2 exons. NCBI's taxonomy places the organism in Eukaryota, Metazoa, Chordata, Aves, Anseriformes, Anatidae.